GGGCAGGAAAGAGUCUGCAGGUCAAAUCACGCCCUGCUUUUGCUCUUGCAAAACAUCCUCGCCUUCAGAGCGUGCCUUUGGUGACGUGAGUGCAGCUUGCUUGUCUUCGGCUGAGUGCACAGCUCCUGGAGCACGUCAGUGCCGUGCUGCUGACGGAUGAGGAGCAGGAUGAGGAGCACCACGUGCCCCACAGAGCUGGCAAGGAGUGGGAUGCAGUUCUGGGGGAAGAAAUGGGCUGUGCCUGCCCUUUCCUGUUACGUGACCUGCUGUGGUUUGGUGCUCUUAGCUGAGCCGUGCCAGCAUCCAAACCACUUUUUGGCUCUUCUGACAAACCCAGGCAAACAACCUAUGUUGCUUUUCCCUAAGCACAUCAGGAAGUGAGCCUUGAGUACAUCAUCUCAGCUCCAUCAGCUGCAAAAUGAAUGGAGAGCACAGACCCGGGAAGAAUACAUUUGUGAGCCGGUGCCCAGAAGCUCCUACUGUUAGUUGUUUAAAAAGAAAGAAACAGAAGCCCCUCCACCAAAACAACAAAGCCAAAGAGUAAGCUACAGAGCACACAGCCUCAUUUCUACAGCGUUAUCAUCAAUAAAACCCAUGGAGAUUGCA
Molecule: long non-coding RNA, 606 nt
Filed under: Phasianus colchicus (ring-necked pheasant)
Lineage: Eukaryota; Metazoa; Chordata; Aves; Galliformes; Phasianidae
Description: lncRNA (ENSPCLG00000006867.1)
Source: RNAcentral